UACUUCAUUUUCUAAAGUAUUGGUUGAC
This 28-nucleotide non-coding RNA is filed under the name Rattus norvegicus (Norway rat). Lineage: Eukaryota; Metazoa; Chordata; Mammalia; Rodentia; Muridae. The record is from RNAcentral.